GAUGAAGAACGUAGCGAAAUGCGACAAGUAAUGUGAAUUGCAGAAUUCCGUGAAUCAUCGAAUCUUUGAACGCACAUUGCGCCCUCUGGUAUUCUGGCGGGCAUGCCUGUUCGAGCGUCAUUUCAACCAUCAAGCCCCCGGCUUGUGUUGGGGACCUGCGGCUGCCGCAGGCCCUGAAAACCAGUGGCGGGCUCGCUAGUCACUCCGAGCGUAGUAAUACAUCUCGCUCAGGGCGUGCUGCGGGUUCCGGCCGUUAAAAAGCCUUAUUUACCCAAGGUUGACCUCGGAUCAGGUAGGAAGACCCGCUGAACUUAAGCAUAUCAAUAAGCGGAGGA
RNAcentral lists this unclassified non-coding RNA (335 nucleotides) under soil metagenome. Its description in RNAcentral is "partial contains 5.8S ribosomal RNA, internal transcribed spacer 2, and large subunit ribosomal RNA". The stretch from base 1 to 120 matches the Rfam family "5.8S ribosomal RNA", at positions 35 to 154 of the family's 154-position model. The record is from RNAcentral.